UUAACGGUGAGACUGUAGUCCAGCAGAAUGGCGAGCCCCUGUCUUUAGCCCUCGCCACAGAAUCAACUGAUCCUGAUGUUGUGAUGGUCGAAUCAGACGGAAAACCUGCUGACGCUCAAACUGUUUCUGCAAUCCUUGAAACCAUCAUCCAGAAGGAAGAGGUCAAGGAAAGAAAUGAACAUCAACCAGAUGUAAGUCUUCCUGUCCCCGAUCCACAGCCGGAGACAGCUGACCUAAAGCAAGAAUCAGAAUCACUAACGGAGCCGAAGAGUGAGACUCUAGACGCGGGUCAACCUGAGGAAAACCAAGAGGACAGUAAAGAAGAAGAGAAUCCAGUUAUGAACUUCUUCAAAACACUAGUUGCACAAGUAUCUGAGCCGCCAGCAGCACUCAAAGGAAUGUCUAUCCCCCCACCACCUCCUCCAGAGCCACCGAAAAUGGAAAUUAAGGGAGAAACAGCUGCCAAACCUGUCAAACCCACACCCAAAGAAGAACCCAAAGCUGCUGCAAAGACACCCGAGUCCUCAAAAGGAAAAUCGGCCAGAUCCACUCUGAGCAAUCUCUUCCGUCCAAAGGUGCUGCUAGGUGUCAAGGUGUUCAAAUGCAAGGGCGCUUCAGCAAGUGGAGCCAAAGCCCCGGCCAAGACCGCAGCAGUGAAGGUGGAUCCCUCAAAAACUGGCACUCUGGAAGCUGCCGCAAAGCCAGAACCGCCACCGCCAGUUCAGGAGGAAAAGAAAAAAGCUUCAAAAUCAUCCUUCAUGUCUCUCUUCAAGCCCAAAGUACUGUUAGACCACAUGACCACAAAAGUCCAGGCAGCCUCCACAAGUGGAGUUCGGCUCCUCAGGAGAACAGCUGGAGUGGCUGUUGAUCCCAAAAGUGCGACCCCUGCCCCAGCUGCUGCAGCAGAGACGGUUAAAGCCAAGGAGGAACCCAAAGCAGCAGCCAAGUCAUCAGAGGCGGUUGUAGAAAACAAGCCUACAGUGGCCUCCCAAGCUGACGACGAUGCCGCCAAUGUGCCCAAGAAACUGGAGAAGAGGAACUCCAUCCAGCUGUUCUUUAAAAUUCUGGGUCAGAAACGUAACUCGACAGAUGCCGGGGUCCAGACAGAGUCCGCCCCUGUUGCUGCAGGAGCUGAGAAGGCCAAAUGAAACCAAAACCCACAGUGAAGUUUCCCUGUAAAAACUCCCUCUAUCUUCUUUGCUCUUACUCAAUCUUCAUAUCUCUCUCUCUCUGUCUCAUUUUCCCUUUCAACCCUUAUUGAAUUCCUUUAACUACAUGUUGUUGUUUGUGUUACUGUUUAGAAGUUACAAUGCGGGAGGAGAAGUGACUUUAAGGGUAAAAGCAAGUUGUGAGAACGUCAAACAGUGGACAGUUGAACAAGUGGUGAUUUGAAAGGGUCAAAGGCGAGGUUGUUGAGAUAUAUAAUAUUUUUGUUGGUCAUAUAAAUGUCUUGACAAGUAUAGAAAUGUGAGAGUGAAACCUUUUCUACAGACAUUUAAUGUGACUUCUCUCCGUUCUUGCGACCUAACUCGCUGGGCUGAAGCAAUAGACCACGCUUUGCUUUGAGCAAAUUAUUUAAAGAAAAAGGUUCUAUUUACAGAAACCAGACAGAAAUCAUACAGUUGUGGCAAAGUAGGUGUUAAUAUGAAAUUACAUUGAAAAAAAAGUACUUAAAUCUAUAUGACAUGAAAAUGACCAGCUGAUAACAGGAGCAUAUUUGUUUAACAAACUUCACUUACAGAUUUUUUUUAACUUUAUGCAAGCUACACGUAGACUAAAGCAUAUACUCACGUAUCCUAACAGUCAUGUAUUGGGCCAUAUGGGAAAAUCACAAUAUUUACUGUUCUGUGGGGAACUGAUUGUAAGUGUAACAGAUGCAUCUGAGGUGGCAAAACAAAAGGUGUAGUCAUAAAUCACAGUCGAUUAGCUUUUAAUUUGAUUACACUUUGUGUCGUGUAUUUUAACGGAAGUCUUAUGGUGUUAGUCAUUUGUGUUUGGCAUACGUGCAAUUAAUAUAAUGCUUUUGUUUGCCUACAUGUAUGUAUGCGUGUGUAUGUGUAACUUCAGCUAUCUUGAAGACAAUAAACAUGUUCACCAUUUGUUUGUUGUUCAUCAGUGAAGAGGAACGAGAAUAACUGGGUGUUGCGACAACUGCAGAAUAUGUGGAUCAGCAAGUUUGGCAAAAAUAAAAUCAUAUGCUACACUUCCAAAUCUUUUUUUGAUGUACACAAGAUAAAGCAUUAUACUUGUGAGCUAAGAGGGAGU
RNAcentral lists this long non-coding RNA (2265 nucleotides) under Cottoperca gobio. Its description in RNAcentral is "lncRNA (ENSCGOG00000015788.1)". Lineage: Eukaryota; Metazoa; Chordata; Actinopteri; Perciformes; Bovichtidae. The record is from RNAcentral.